This 450-nucleotide ribosomal RNA is filed under the name uncultured bacterium. Its description in RNAcentral is "partial 16S ribosomal RNA". It matches the Rfam family "Bacterial small subunit ribosomal RNA", at positions 354 to 796 of the family's 1533-position model. The record is from RNAcentral.
GUAGGGAAUCUUCCACAAUGGACGCAAGUCUGAUGGAGCAACGCCGCGUGAGUGAAGAAGGUUUUCGGAUCGUAAAGCUCUGUUGUUGGUGAAGAAGGAUAGAGGCAGUAACUGGUCUUUAUUUGACGGUAAUCAACCAGAAAGUCACGGCUAACUACGUGCCAGCAGCCGCGGUAAUACGUAGGUGGCAAGCGUUGUCCGGAUUUAUUGGGCGUAAAGCGAGCGCAGGCGGAAUGAUAAGUCUGAUGUGAAAGCCCACGGCUCAACCGUGGAACUGCAUCGGAAACUGUCAUUCUUGAGUGCAGAAGAGGAGAGUGGAACUCCAUGUGUAGCGGUGGAAUGCGUAGAUAUAUGGAAGAACACCAGUGGCGAAGGUGGCUCUCUGGUCUGCAACUGACGCUGAGGCUCGAAAGCAUGGGUAGCGAACAGGAUUAGAAACCCCUGUAGUCC